CACAAAAAUAUAAGAGGUAGAGAGAGAAAGUGAAUCCAGAGGAUAUAAGAGGAGUUAGAGAAAGAGAGCUUGGGGUUUGAAGAGCUAAGAGUUAAAUGGAAGCCAAAGUUAGGAUUCUUCAAGACUAGAGGUUAGGGGGGUGGUUUCCUUUUCAUAAUUAAGCUAUAAUCUCCUAUUUUCAAUUAUGCGAAUAAAUGCUUAUUUGUGAAUUGUGACUUUUGUGAAUUUUAAUGUCAAUUUUUGUGCUCCUUAUUUAAUGAUAAAUUUGGGUAUGUUAAUUUGAUGUUAAGUUUGUUGUUGUUGUUGAUUUUCCAUGGUUGAAGUAUGCUAAUAUGAACCUUUGUGAGUUUUGCUUAAUUUGGUGAAAAAUGAUGUUGUUGUUGAUUGUUAAUGAAAUCAUGUUUAUAUGAUGAGAUUGUUGUUGGUGUUGAUUCAUGCCUUGGGUAUCACUAAUUGUGUUGUUGUGAUUUAAGUUGUUGUUUGGGGAAAAACUUGGGUGUUGAUUGAAAAAUCCUUUUAAGUGUUUUUGAAAAAUAUGUGAUUAUGAGAGGUUUUGAGUGAGUUGUUUUGGGAUGGGAGAAACUUGAUUUUUCUGAUAGAAUGUGAUAGUUCUAAGUGUAAGGAGCGCGUAGGCGAAAGCGGAAUUAGAAUCAGAUUACCAGUUUGAAUUUUACGCGCGAAAUGAGAAAAUUUAAAAACCUGUAUUGUCUGAAACUCGCCCAACGAGUGAGAUAUAUGCCACGGUGAGUUGGUGCAGAACAAAACAUGUUGUUUUGUACUUUUAGAGCGUUUGUGGUCGUUCCAGACAUCCGUAAAUGAUUCUUUUGAUGUAUUUAAUUGUUGUAAAGCUUUCUAAACAUUUGGAAACAUCAAAUAAAUUAGAUUGAACAUGGUUUUGGGAAUCGAACCAAACUUUUUGAACAAUGUUCAAGAAUGCAUGAUUUUUCAAAACUUGUCUUUCUUAAUGGAAAAGGGUAAGGUUCGGGUUGUUUAAUGUAACCUUGAUUUAUAAAAAAAUGUUUUGGGUGGUAUUCAUGAGCUUUAACAUGAUUUUACUUUGAAAAUUGGAAUUAUUUUGAAAAGUGAUAAAGUGGGACGAACUUUGUGAAAUUAUGGAAUCAAUUGGAAUUGGCCUAUGAUGCCUAUAUGCAUAAGCUACUAUGAUCAUGUGUGAGUAGUGUAUAUGCUUGGUUGAGAUGUUUGAUUAUGUUUACCUUGUUUUGUUGAAAUACUUAGAAAACGUAGAAAGUGGUGAAAAUAGACGAACGUUGUUAAAAUGUGGUUUCAUUACCGGAUAACAAAUGAUUUUACCUUCAUAUUAAUAUGAUAGUAUAAGAAUGAAUAAAUGAAGAUUGGGUGUUAAAAUGAUGAAUAUCAUAAUGUGGUAGUUGUCUGUGUUUUAUGUAAAAUGUGAUUGUUAAUAUGUGUUGUUUCCUUGAGGUGUUGGUUGUUGAUGAUUCUUCUUUGGUGAUUUUAACUUGAUGAUUUGGUGAUGACUCUUGUUGAAUUAUGACUCGUGAAUUAUGAAGCGAAUGUGUUUCUUUUUUAUAAUGACUAUUUGAUGAAUGUUUGGUGAUAAAUAUGAUUAUGUUGAUGAUGAUUAUAAUGAUGGUUAAUGAUGAUUAUGAUGAUGAUUUAUUUUUUGUUGUGAAGUCUUACAUGCAAAAUGACGAUGUUAUUGAUGAUGAAUGCAUGUAUAAAAAAUGAAGACGAAAAUGAUGACGAAUUGUAUGUUGAACGUAUGCAUUGUUGAGUCAUAUGUUCAUGCAUUCAUAAGUAGGAUAUUUAUAUCUAAUGAAGACGACUAGGAUAUUUAAAUCCAACGAAGACGACCGAAUACUUUGUAAUCAAAAUGACAACCGGCACCACAUGCAUAUAGAGUCGUGUAUAGAGCGCAUUGCAUACAUUCGAGUCUAUGAAAAUAUGUGCUUUGGUGAAUUAUAUGAAUCAUUUGAAUAUGUGCUUGGUGAACCUUGGUGAUUUAUGUGCAUUGGUGAACUUGGUGAAAUUUGGUAAACAUGUGAAGAUGUGUACUUGAGGAUGUUUGUUAUUCUUGGUGAUACUUGUACACGUGAUUUUAAUUGAUGAUGUUUAUUUUGGUGAAAAUAAUGAAGUAUGAAUUAUAUGUAUGUGAUUUAGUGAUUCUUUGGUGACAACGAUUUCCUUGCUUAUACUUUUGAAAAGAUGAAUCAUAUUUGUUGACUUGAUUAGGCAAGAGUUUAUGUGACAUAUAUGAUUGGUGUGAAUUAGAUGAUUUGUAUGUAUUAGGAUAAUAUGAACUUUAUGUAAAAUGAAUAGGGUGGCAUGUUAGGAUGAUAAUUCCUAAAUGAUGAGAUUGGUGUAGUUUGAUUAUUAGGCUAAACAGGGAAUGAGGUGAGAAAUUCUUACGUGGAUUGGUGUUGUUAGGUGAUAAACUUGUGAUGAUAAUGUCAAUUAAGAAUUAAUAUAUGUUGAUAUGAUAUGAUAAAGGAGAGAUAAUAUCCAUGUGGAAUUAGUAUUCUAUGAAUGUUGAGUAUGUAUAUGUGCUAUGCAUGAAUCUUUGAAUGUUUAUGUUUGAUUAUACUUUAAUUAUAGAAUGUGGCUAACCCAGUGGUCGUUCGGUUGACCGCCUGCCUUAUUCUUAUGAAUAGUAGACGACGUGCAUGAGUAGUUUUCUUUGCUUGGUGAGUUGUUGAGAUUUUAUACUUGGGGUAAGUUAGCUUAAGGGUGUCAGUUUGUCAUUUAUACUUUAUGACUUGUUGAGAUUUUUAUCACUCAGUAUGUUGAGUUAAGAUUUUAUAUUUGGAGAUUUAUUAUGGAGUUGUAUUUUGAUUAUGUGACAUGGUUACGUGAAGAUGUUUUAUUUAGCUGCUGAUGUGAUGAUGUUAUUAUUCCGCUGCAAUGUUUUGAUGAAAUUAUUUUUGUAUGAUGAACUUAUAGAAUAAAUAACAUCUAAAUCCUUGACAUGAUUUGUAUUAUUUGUGUGAUUUAUCGCUUUAAGGAUUUAUGAUGUUACAUCAACCUCAUUUGUGUGGUUGCUAUUAGUAUAAAAUGAUGUUACAAAUCAAUGUAGACUUCCAUGGAAGUCACAACAUUAUGAUGAUUCAUUGUUUAUUUUGUUAGUUUUUGGGUGUCAUUUGAUGAUUCACUCACCGACGCAUAACACCCACGCGCCGCCCUCUGAACUAUUCAUUCUAAAUUAUUCAAGUGUUUUUAAUCUAUAUACAUAAAAACUCUUUGUUUAUUUAGAAGAAGAAAAAACUCUGCGUUUUUUGGUUUUUUCUUGGUGAUAAAAAACUCUUUGUUUAAAUGGUUGUUGUUCAUGUUGUCUGUAUGAAUUUAUGAUGAAAAAUUUAACUUGUUUAACUUAUCAUUAGACUAAUAUAUUGUUGUUGGUUGAUUGUUUAACUUUUUAUUUGACAAAUAAAAUUUAUUUAGUCCAAAAGAGAAAUCAAUGCAUUUAUUAUAACAUAAUUUAUGGUAUUAAAUUUUAUAGUAUAAUUGUACCCAAAAAAAUUAUAACGUAAUUUUCUUAUUGUUGUAUUUAACAUUUUGAUUUAUAAAGACUUAAAGAAUGAUAUGUUAAAUUGAAGUAGACUUCACCAUUCAUAAUAAUCUCUCAAAUCCUUCAACAUACAAAAAGAAGCAUUGUUUGAAAGCUAUAACGUUGAUUGACUUUCUUUGAGAUAUUGUAUCCGAUUAUCAACAUUAUUAUACUCGAAGACAACAACUUCUUUAAUGGGAUAAGUUCUCAAUGCAUGAUUGAGCUUUCUUAUUUUUUACGGUAAGGUCGACCAUUUUGCUUUACCACCCUUCUUCUGUUAAAUCAUUUUCAUUAGGAUAAAAUUCACUUUGUCUGAAAGUAUAAUAUGCUCUGAAGAAAUGACAUUGAAACAAAAAGAUAUGCAAAAAAUAAAGAAAGCAAAAAUAUUAAUUUAAGCAAAACAGAUCUUCAAUUGCACUAAAUCAAUAAUGUUGUAAAACAUCAUUGUUAUAAUACUAUCUAUCUAUCUAUAUAUACAUGUAUUCUAACCUACAUUUUGCUUAUGUGUCACCUCACCAAUGCCUCCCUUUCUAAUUAUUUCUUUACAUGUAUUCUCUCUCAUUCUAAGCUACACUUUGCUUAUGUGUCACUUCACAAAUGCCCCCUUUCAUGUACAAUAAUUUUAAUUCUUUACUCACUCAUUCUAUGCUAGGUUCUCCAUUAUUUUUCUUCUAAUCACAUUUUGCAUCCACUUUUCCUAUUACUAAGUAACCGUUACCCACUCUUCCAUUUUCUCUUAAUUAAUUAGUAACAGCCAUCACACGAAAAAUGUUAAUGUUCUUCAACGUUUUUUUUUAUGUCCCUUCACUAUUUCUUCUUCCGUUUGUUUCCAUUUUUUUGUUAUAUAUUUUACAUUAGUUUCAUCCAUCUUCAUCUAUAUAUUUGUUCUUCUAACAGGUUUUAGCUUUAUAAAAUGGGUAUUGUUUCUUCAAAACCGGAUUUGCAUAUGUUUUGGAGAUAGAAGAGGGUAUUGCUGAAAGGUCACCUCUUAUAUGAACACACAAUUGUCUUUAUAAUAUGAUAAUAAUCGCUCAUUUUCUCUUCUUUUGCAAUUUGAUGAGUUUUUAUAUUAGUCACACAUUUUUUAUCUUACAAGUCAUUCCACUAAAAUUAUAUCUAUAAUCUCUCAAUCUCAUCACUUACUCUUGAACUAGGUGAAAAAUAUUGUUUGUAUGCUUUCUUCUUUUGGUA
RNAcentral lists this long non-coding RNA (4714 nucleotides) under Medicago truncatula (barrel medic). Its description in RNAcentral is "long non-coding RNA (MTRU_LNC002918)". The record is from RNAcentral. Lineage: Eukaryota; Viridiplantae; Streptophyta; Magnoliopsida; Fabales; Fabaceae.